Molecule: ribosomal RNA, 408 nt
Filed under: uncultured bacterium
Lineage: Bacteria
Description: partial 16S ribosomal RNA
Rfam family: Bacterial small subunit ribosomal RNA
Source: RNAcentral
CCUACGGGAGGCAGCAGUGAGGAAUAUUGGUCAAUGGGCGUGAGCCUGAACCAGCCAAGUAGCGUGAAGGAUGACUGCCCUAUGGGUUGUAAACUUCUUUUAUACAGGAAUAAAGUGCGGCACGUGUGCCGUUUUGUACGUACCUUAUGAAUAAGGAUCGGCUAACUCCGUGCCAGCAGCCGCGGUAAUACGGAGGAUCCGAGCGUUAUCCGGAUUUAUUGGGUUUAAAGGGAGCGUAGAUGGGUUGUUAAGUCAGUUGUGAAAGUUUGCGGCUCAACCGUAAAAGUGCAAUUGAUACUGGCAGUCGUGAGUACAGAUGAGGUAGGCGGAAUUCGUGGUGUAGCGGUGAGAUGCUGAGAUAUCACGAAGGACGCCGAUGGCGAAGGCAGCUUACGAAAUGGCCAAGGA